This 253-nucleotide ribosomal RNA is filed under the name uncultured bacterium. Its description in RNAcentral is "partial 16S ribosomal RNA". It matches the Rfam family "Bacterial small subunit ribosomal RNA", at positions 524 to 776 of the family's 1533-position model. The record is from RNAcentral.
UACAGAGGGUGCGAGCGUUAUCCGGAAUUACUGGGUUUAAAGGGUGCGUAGGCGGCUAUGUAAGUCAGGAGUGAAAGUUUGCGGCUCAACCGUAAAAUUGCUUUUGAUACUGCAUGGCUGGAAUCAGGAUGAGGUCAGCGGAAUGUGGCAUGUAGCGGUGAAAUGCAUAGAUAUGCCAUAGAACACCAAUUGCGAAGGCAGCUGGCUAGACCUGUAUUGACGCUGAGGCACGAAAGCGUGGGGAGCGAACAGG